UGUUUCGGCUAGGGGGUCAUCCCGACUUACCAACCCGAUGCAAACUACGAAUACCGAAGAAUGUUAUCACGGGAGACACACGGCGGGUGCUAACGUCCGUCGUGAAGAGGGAAACAACCCAGACCGCCAGCUAAGGUCCCAAAGUCAUGGUUAAGUGGGAAACGAUGUGGGAAGGCACAGACAGCCAGGAUGUUGGCUUAGAAGCAGCCAUCAUUUAAAGAAAGCGUAAUAGCUCACUGGUCGAGUCGGCCUGCGCGGAAGAUGUAACGGGGCUAAACCAUGCACCGAAGCUGCGGCAGCGACACUAUGUGUUGUUGGGUAGGGG
Molecule: ribosomal RNA, 325 nt
Filed under: Klebsiella pneumoniae
Lineage: Bacteria; Pseudomonadati; Pseudomonadota; Gammaproteobacteria; Enterobacterales; Enterobacteriaceae
Also listed under: 1 other name
Description: partial 23S ribosomal RNA
Rfam family: Bacterial large subunit ribosomal RNA
Source: RNAcentral